Molecule: long non-coding RNA, 145 nt
Organism: Gopherus evgoodei (Goodes thornscrub tortoise)
Lineage: Eukaryota; Metazoa; Chordata; Testudines; Testudinidae
Exons: 4
Source: RefSeq, a predicted model, not a curated record
GAUGUGGAGAAAGCUAAUCUACUGUGAUACAGCAUGGCCAGAGGGCAGCAGGAGAGUGUUAGCAGGGACCCUUAUUCCCUGCAAGUGGAGGAAGGUUUUUAUAGAUUAAAUAGAGCACCUGAAGCCAAUUAGAGCACCAGCAGUC